Molecule: long non-coding RNA, 1504 nt
Filed under: Capsicum annuum
Lineage: Eukaryota; Viridiplantae; Streptophyta; Magnoliopsida; Solanales; Solanaceae
Description: long non-coding RNA (CANN_LNC010248)
Source: RNAcentral
AAUUUCAUAAAAGUGUCAAACCAUUAAUAUCAUAAGUUACAAUUGAGUGUGAAAACUCUAUUUAUUACAUCCUCGAGACCUGAAGUCACCAUACAAGAACAUCUUGAAUAAAAAAACCGAGUCUAGAAAUAGAAAGAAUAUCCCAAAACAUAACCAAAUGGAAAUUUUCUUAGUCCCAAUAAUAAGAGACUUCAACAUCAUAAGAAGAUUGAAAGAUUGACUCAACACGAUACACACCUCAAAUCAAGUCUGGAUCACUAUUUAGAGUUGAGGUCGUGUCUUAAACACUAGAAGAUGUUCUGAACUCUACAAAAAAGAAGAGUAUUGGAGUAUUAGUACAUCAAUAUUAGUAACCAUCACAGGUCGAUUAACUCAAUAAUGUACAAGUAAGCUAGUUAAACAAGUAUGACGCGAUCAUAAAAAAACUCAUCACUAAUGAAAUUAAUCAGACAAACACAUUAUAAAACAUCAUAUAGUUAUAAUUCACAAGUUCAUUUUCACAGGCAUUCCUAUGUAAACAUUUUCAUCAACCAUUAAUCAUCAUAUAUGUUCAUCAAACUAGAACUCAAUGCAUAUGGAUGGUUGUAUAUAUGCAAGACGUGCUCAUCAUCUCUUACCCUUCUCCUCCUUAUUAUCAACACCAUGAUUUAUCGAUGUGGUACCCGAUCCUUUAUCACAUUGUAUAGUAUUGUAGUGUUGUGGUACUCAACUAUUAUCUCAACACCUUAUCACGAGUCAAUAAAAAUGUAAUAAAGUCAUCAAAUCACAAGUUAUUGUAGAAAUCAAUCAUAGAUGUUUAAAUCACAAACAAGCACAAAGCCAAGAAAGUCUAGCACUACACAAAAUCAUAGCCUACCUUAACUCCUUUGCUCAAAGUCACCUUUAAGUCACACUUUUCACUUUUUAUUUUCGUUCAAUUUGUUCUUGAUCUACACAAUACAAAAUAUACACAUAUUUUAAUAAUUCAUCUCUUUUUAACUACUAGGGAUCAAAACUUAUCAAUUUUAGCGACAACUUACCCAAUUUCAUUAUUUUAAGUUUUCUUAUCAUUUCAAACUCAUGAUUUUUUCUUGAAGUAGCAUAAAUAAUUGUAAUUCUAUUUCCAUUAGUGUUGUCUAACACCAUAGGAUCAUUAUAUAUAGAAUUCAUACACAUUCCCAUCAUUUUUUAUUAAUUCCCAUCAACUAGGGCUAAACCCCCAAAAUACACCAAUAAUCUAUUUUUAGUGCUUUCUAAGGUUAAACAAAGUAAUUUGGUAAUUACUUACCUCCAAAGAUGAACAACUUUGAAAUUCCUUUGAAAAUUGUCUUUCCCUGAAGUCCUAUUGAUUUUUAUUUAAAAAAAUUAGGGAAUAAAAAUGUAUUCUGGGUUUUAAAACUAAAAUGCUUAAUGUGCAUUACUGCUGUAGUGGUUUGCAUCCUUUUACAUGAAGGCCAUCGUUGUGGUUAGGGGUACCUCUGCAACAAUUACUUUUUUUGCCGUAGAUGUCGGGGGCGGAAACUCA